This 594-nucleotide ribosomal RNA is filed under the name uncultured fungus. RNAcentral describes it as "eukaryotic LSU rRNA". The stretch from base 234 to 387 matches the Rfam family "5.8S ribosomal RNA". Lineage: Eukaryota; Fungi. The record is from RNAcentral.
UUAGGUCAUUUUAGAGGAAGUAAAAGUCGUAACAAGGUUUCCGUAGGUGAACCUGCGGAAGGAUCAUUAAAGAAUCGCCCCGUUUUUUGAAAUGGGUUCUAUUCCCAAACCGUGUAUACAUACCUUUGUUGCUUUGGCAGGCCGCCUUCUAGGCGUCGGCUCCGGCUGACUGCGCCUGCCAGAGGACCCAAACUCUUUUGUUUAGUGAUGUCUGAGUACUAUAUAAUAGUUAAAACUUUCAACAACGGAUCUCUUGGUUCUGGCAUCGAUGAAAAACGCAGCGAAAUGCGAUAAGUAAUGUGAAUUGCAGAAUUCAGUGAAUCAUCGAAUCUUUGAACGCACAUUGCGCCCCUUGGUAUUCCGAGGGGCAUGCCUGUUCGAGCGUCAUUAUAACCACUCAAGCCUCGGCUUGGUCUUGGGGUUCGCGGUUUCGCGGCCCUUAAAAUCAGUGGCGGUGUCGUCUGGCUCUAAGCGUAGUAAUUCUCUCGCUAUAGAGUCCAGGUGACCGCCUGCCAUAACCCUCCAUUCUUUACGGUUGACCUCGGAUCAGGUAGGGAUACCCGCUGAACUUAAGCAUAUCAAUAAGCGGAGGAA